CCUACGGGAGACAGCAGUGAGGAAUAUUGGUCAAUGGCCGUAAGGCUGAACGAGCGAAGUCGCGUGAGGGAAGAAGGAUCUAUGGUUUGUAAACUUCUUUUAUAGGGGAAUAAAGGUAUCCACGUGUGGAUGUGUUCAUGUACCCUGUGAAUAAGCAUCGGCUAACUCCGUGCCAGCAGCCGCGGUAAUACGGAGGAUGCGAGCGGUAUCCGGAUUGAUUGGGUUUAAAGGGUGCGUAGGUUGUUUUGUAAGUCAGCGGUGAAAGUUUGUGGCUCAACCAUAAAAUUGCCGUUGAAACUGGAAGACUUGAGUGUGUUUGAGGUAGGCGGAAUGCGUUGUGUAGCGGUGAAAUGCAUAGAUAUCACGCAGAACUCCGAUUGCGAAGGCAGCUUACUAAGCCAUAACUGACACUGAAGCACGAAAGCGUGGGGAUCAAACAGGAUUAGAUACCCUAGUAGUC
This 460-nucleotide ribosomal RNA is filed under the name uncultured bacterium. RNAcentral describes it as "partial 16S ribosomal RNA". It matches the Rfam family "Bacterial small subunit ribosomal RNA", at positions 338 to 795 of the family's 1533-position model. The record is from RNAcentral.